CCCGUGUCUCUGCAGGCCCCACACUUAGAAAUGCCACGUGGUAACGCGAACCGGGGAUCCAAGAGUAAAAGGGAGCCGGCACUUUUACGCUGCUGCAGAUGUUUGAAUCUCUGAUUGUCUGGUGAGUGAUGAAGAUGGUGUUUUGGAGGUUUUGCCUGUGAUCAUCAUAAUCAGUUCUGCCUGUUUGAAGAAACGCAUGCUUGCACAGCUUGAAACAUUUAAAACCUUUCAAGUCGGUCUUUGGCACCUCUGAUGUUAAAUUUCCAGUGUGUGAAGCUACUUGACCUGGAAAAUAAACACAGCACCGCAUGUAGCACUGUGGGAUAGCAGAAGAAAUCUGACCUGUGUAUCUAAAAAAAGAGACAAAACUACGAGGGCCUGAUUUUCUGUGGUGUUUUAGUAAUAAUUUUAUGGUAUGUAAACAGAUAGAUGUGUCUGCUGUUGUCCUCAAUGUUCAGUACCUUUCAUGUAGGAGUUUUAAAACUGUGGUCCUUGAAUCUUCAGUGACCUACCUUGAGUUUCCUCAAAGUAAUAAAGGUUAAUGUAUAUUACAGACUUCGGUGGAAACAGCUGA
Long non-coding RNA from Apus apus (common swift), 574 nucleotides. RefSeq lists it as uncharacterized. The transcript is spliced from 4 exons. NCBI's taxonomy places the organism in Eukaryota, Metazoa, Chordata, Aves, Apodiformes, Apodidae. The record is from RefSeq and is a predicted model, not a curated record.